Long non-coding RNA from Dendrobium catenatum, 389 nucleotides. RefSeq lists it as uncharacterized. NCBI's taxonomy places the organism in Eukaryota, Viridiplantae, Streptophyta, Magnoliopsida, Asparagales, Orchidaceae. The record is from RefSeq and is a predicted model, not a curated record. The transcript has 2 exons.
AGCUAGUGCGGAUCCAAAAUCCAUUUCUGCAAACAAAUCAGUGCAACUUAUCAAGAGUGUCACAAAAUGGUUUACGAAGGAUGGGAUCCUUGUCGAGGGCCUAUUUUGGAGGGAUGUGGAGAGACUGAUGGAUGACUACAAUGGAGAGAGGAAGAACAAGUGAGUUGAAUCCUAAAACUAGACUUCAAAAACGGCCGGUUUUUCUGGGUUCCGAUUGCUGGGGCUGAUUUAGUACAAAUGCUUUGAUUUUGAGAACCAAAUAUAUAACAAUCCCUCUACAUUCAAAAACUGGAAAUUAGAAUCUUGCAGGGGCUUUCUUCUGAGUUAUGUGGCGUCAGAAUAGUAAACUUUCUUCAUUUAUGAGUUCUGUUUACUCUUUUCUUCAUUUA